RNAcentral lists this ribosomal RNA (471 nucleotides) under Staphylococcus sp. HN32. RNAcentral describes it as "bacterial SSU rRNA". It matches the Rfam family "Bacterial small subunit ribosomal RNA", at positions 135 to 594 of the family's 1533-position model. Lineage: Bacteria; Bacillati; Bacillota; Bacilli; Caryophanales; Staphylococcaceae. The record is from RNAcentral.
AGACUGGGAUAACUUCGGGAAACCGGAGCUAAUACCGGAUAACAUUUGGAACCGCAUGGUUCUAAAGUGAAAGAUGGUUUUGCUAUCACUUAUAGAUGGACCCGCGCCGUAUUAGCUAGUUGGUAAGGUAACGGCUUACCAAGGCAACGAUACGUAGCCGACCUGAGAGGGUGAUCGGCCACACUGGAACUGAGACACGGUCCAGACUCCUACGGGAGGCAGCAGUAGGGAAUCUUCCGCAAUGGGCGAAAGCCUGACGGAGCAACGCCGCGUGAGUGAUGAAGGGUUUCGGCUCGUAAAACUCUGUUAUUAGGGAAGAACAAAUGUGUAAGUAACUGUGCACAUCUUGACGGUACCUAAUCAGAAAGCCACGGCUAACUACGUGCCAGCAGCCGCGGUAAUACGUAGUGGCAAGCGUUAUCCGGAAUUAUUGGUCCGUAAAGCGCGCGUAGCGGUCUCUCAAGUCUGAUG